This 615-nucleotide long non-coding RNA is filed under the name Scleropages formosus (Asian bonytongue). Its description in RNAcentral is "lncRNA (ENSSFOG00015033298.1)". Lineage: Eukaryota; Metazoa; Chordata; Actinopteri; Osteoglossiformes; Osteoglossidae. The record is from RNAcentral.
AUGAAAUACGACUCGCGCCAGUUUUCGCAGAGGAGUUUUGCUGUGUGCGCGUGACACUUGAGCCACUUGCAACAGUGGGGAGUAAAUGCUCGAAUAAUUAACUUUUAGCUGGUGGAGCCAUAUUUUAAAGUAUCCUAAAGAAAAUUAGAUGUGUGGACUAUGUUGCUGAGACGGAAAAGGGUCAGGUUCCUGCAGCAGUUCUACAAAGAGAAUGAGUCUCAAAUUAUUCCUUUAAAAAUGGUGCCCAGCAGGCGAGUGAAGAGAACUUGUGGUGCUUGCUUACUGAAAACAAGUGGCCCUGCAGGUGGUCCUGGAUCACGUGGCUGCGGAGGACCCCGAGCUGCUGGAGCGCGUGUGUGAAAAUGACAAAUGCUACAUCAUCCUCUUCUUUGAUGUUGUGCACAACCUGCUGCCAAAUGCAGGGAGAAGGAGGUCAGAGCAGAGCUGUCUGGUCACCCUUCUUCAAGCUCCUCAUCCUCUGCACAAGUCAGCAGCGUGUUGACCACAAGUCUUGUGGGCCAGCUGUGCUUGCACAUGCAAGAUUCAAAGGUCAUCUUGUUUCCAGGGGCUGUGCACACAGGGACAUGUAAGCAAAUGCUCUUGUGUCCAAGUUCC